This 103-nucleotide small nuclear RNA is filed under the name Tursiops truncatus (common bottlenose dolphin). Lineage: Eukaryota; Metazoa; Chordata; Mammalia; Artiodactyla; Delphinidae. The record is from RNAcentral.
GUGCUUGCUUUGGCAGCACAUAUACUAAAAUUGGAACGAUACAGAGAAGACUAGCAUGGCCCCUGUGCAAGGAUGACAUGCAAAUUUGUGCAGCCACAUAGCA